Molecule: ribosomal RNA, 460 nt
Filed under: uncultured bacterium
Lineage: Bacteria
Description: partial 16S ribosomal RNA
Rfam family: Bacterial small subunit ribosomal RNA
Source: RNAcentral
CCUACGGGAGGCAGCAGUGAGGAAUAUUGGUCAAUGGACGAGAGUCUGAACCAGCCAAGUAGCGUGAAGGAUGACUGCCCUAUGGGUUGUAAACUUCUUUUAUAAAGGAAUAAAACGAGGCACGUGUGCCUUUUUGUAUGUACUUUAUGAAUAAGGAUCGGCUAACUCCGUGCCAGCAGCCGCGGUAAUUCGGAGGAUCCGAGCGUUAUCCGGAUUUAUUGGGUUUAAAGGGAGCGUAGGUGGGUUGUUAAGUCAGUUGUGAAAGUUUGCGGCUCAACCGUAAAAUUGCAAUUGAAACUGGCAGUCUUGAGUACAGUAGAGGUAGGCGGAAUUCGUGGUGUAGCGGUGAAAUGCUUAGAUAUCACGAAGAACCCCGAUUGCGAAGGCAGCUUACUAAACUGUGACUGACAUUGAUGCUCGAAAGUGUGGGUAUCAAACAGGAUUAGAUACCCUUGUAGUC